GGUUGGGUCCUGCGCGGCGGAAACCUUCGAACCCCGCCAGGUCCGGGAGGAAGCAACGGUAAGGAGG
This 67-nucleotide signal recognition particle RNA is filed under the name Anaerolineae bacterium. RNAcentral describes it as "partial signal recognition particle sRNA small type". It matches the Rfam family "Bacterial small signal recognition particle RNA", at positions 1 to 66 of the family's 97-position model. Rfam says of the family: The signal recognition particle (SRP) is a universally conserved ribonucleoprotein involved in the co-translational targeting of proteins to membranes. Archaeal SRP consists of a 7S RNA and homologues of the eukaryotic SRP19 and SRP54 proteins. The record is from RNAcentral. Lineage: Bacteria; Bacillati; Chloroflexota; Anaerolineae.